RNAcentral lists this ribosomal RNA (253 nucleotides) under uncultured bacterium. RNAcentral describes it as "partial 16S ribosomal RNA". It matches the Rfam family "Bacterial small subunit ribosomal RNA", at positions 524 to 776 of the family's 1533-position model. The record is from RNAcentral.
UACGAAGGGGGCUAGCGUUGCUCGGAAUCACUGGGCGUAAAGCGCUCGUAGGCGGAUUGUUAAGUCGGGGGUGAAAUCCUGGAGCUCAACUCCAGAACUGCCUUUGAUACUGAAGAUCUUGAGUCCGGGAGAGGUGAGUGGAACUGCGAGUGUAGAGGUGAAAUUCGUAGAUAUUCGCAAGAACACCAGUGGCGAAGGCGGCUCACUGGCCCGGUACUGACGCUGAGGCACGAAAGCGUGGGGAGCAAACAGG